AGGACGGCAGUCAAAAAAACCCAACCGGCGCUGCUGUUUAGGGUUCUUCUUCAUGUCUCCGGUACUGUGCGCUGCUAUUUAGGGUUCUGCAUGCCCUCCAAGGGUUGUUCUGGUUUCUGUUGCGAUUAAGGGAUUUCGUGUCGCCUCUAAUGGUUGAUCCAGAUGCUGCUGCGAUUCAGAGCAAAUUAUUAAUUCAAGUCUUUCUCUGCACCACUAUGGCGAUUGAAUCUCCAUUUAUUCAAUGGACUAUUGAAAAGCAUCCAACAUAUGAACAUGGUGUUUCCAAGUUUUAUUACCUUCUUGCUCUUUUGGGAGCAAAUUCCUGAUACCAUUAUUCAGCAAGUAGUGUCUAAUAUGGCUGAAUUGGAAGCAACCCUCAGUGACUUCUGACAUGGAAUCAAGAAAUAUAGUUUUUGAGCCUAUUUCUAGAGGGAGGGGGUCUUCAAAUUUGAUUGUACUUCGGACUAUAGGAAUGCGGCAUUACUGAAUGUCUCUUUUAUUAAUUCCAAAGAUCGGGAUACAUUGUAUCCAAUGAUGGGUAGUCAACAAGUUCCUUCUUAUACCCCUACUUUUGAAUGUAUUCAUGGACAACAAAUUGUUCAAU
This is a long non-coding RNA of Rhododendron vialii, 604 nucleotides long. RefSeq lists it as uncharacterized. NCBI's taxonomy places the organism in Eukaryota, Viridiplantae, Streptophyta, Magnoliopsida, Ericales, Ericaceae. The transcript has 3 exons. The record is from RefSeq and is a predicted model, not a curated record.